This is a non-coding RNA of Odocoileus virginianus texanus, 1533 nucleotides long. Lineage: Eukaryota; Metazoa; Chordata; Mammalia; Artiodactyla; Cervidae. The record is from RefSeq and is a predicted model, not a curated record.
ACAGGGAAGUCUGGUGUGCUGCAGUCCAUGGAGUCACAGAGUCAGACACGACUGAGCAACUGAACUGUACCAUAUCUAUACAGAUAUAACAUAAAGAAGGCUUAAUGUUACUUACUUAACUAUGUAAUUUAACAUUUCAUGUAAGCCUGAAUUAGUAUAACACCUCCCUUUUUAUGAGGUGAGAGAAUAAAUUAUAGGAGCAUUUUCAGGGGCCCCCUGAGAAAUCUGAAAUUUAACUAGAGAUUAAAAGGACUUUAUAUAGCAUUUGAUUUGGGGAAGCUGUCUGAUUAACAAAAGUUUUUACACUUGACUAAAUAGAACCACAGAUCAUUGUGAAACAAUAUUUAAAUUAUCUAUUUGGCCAAAGUAAUAAUAAAAUACCCUUUUAUCAGAUGAAAGGAAAUCAAGCUUAGUUUUAUGUAACUAUACUACUAAUAUUGAGCAUAUUUUUAAAAACCUUUAUAGUUCAGUUUUAGCCAAUUUGUUUAUACAAGGGAAGAUUCUCCCUUACUCUCUUCUGAAAUAAUCAGAAGUUCUAAUUUAGACAAAAUUGCUCUCAUUUCCUUCAACAAAGAUGCAUCUUUAUUCCUCAGACUUCUCCUUAAACCAAAAUACACCAUAGUGUCCUUACAUACAGAGCUGAACUCUUCUAGUUGUCUUAAUUACAUGCAUUAAUUAUAAUUUUUAACCCUUGGAAACUUUAAUUUUUAGAAUCAUGUGCUUCUUUUUCUUUAGAUUUUCUGUAGUAGGAAGCCAAAAGUAGUUGAACAUGCAUUUUGUAAUUAAAAUAUCAGUAUUUUACUCCAUUUGGAAAUAAUCCAGAUAUUCAGUAAACCUCUAUUCUUUAACCUAUAAAAUCCUUAAAGUUUCUAGUUACCAAAGAGAUUUGGGAAAAUAUUUUAAGGACACCUAAAAUAUAAUUACUGCUUAAGAGUUCACCUAAAAGCUUUUAAUCUUACAUCUAUUACUUGCUCCCAACAGUCAUACUUCGAUUACUUUCCUGUUGACAAAAUUUUAACAGAGACAACAUGAACCUACCUGAUCAGUUACUCCAGAGGCUAGUGAUGGAAAUCAGAAUUCUCUUCAGCUGUCUUGCUUAACUAACCAAAAUGUGGAUUACAUUUUGGAAGAAGUUAUGAGGAAGGAGACCCAUUUCAUUUGUCUUGAGAAGUUUAGAAAAUCAAUUUGAGAAGACUGGUGGAAUCAGACAUAUGGGAUCUUAGCUUCCUGUUCAGGACUCAAACCUGCAGCACCUGCAUUGGAAGGUGAAGUCUUAACACUGGACUGCCAGGGGAGUUCCAGGUGUUUCUUAUUCAGCCCCAUCCUGCAGAAUGCACCACCUGGAAUAAACAACUACAGAACCACCUAGGACAGCACACUUAGGAAAAGAAAUUAAAUAUCCUGGUAAUAUGUCUAAUAAAUAUUAAUUUAUCAUUGUUGUAAAUUUGUAAAAUUGCAGCUAAAGCUGCAAUAGAAAAAUCAGAAUAGCUGGACUUGUGACCAGAGGAAAAGAAAGAAAGGGGCAUUUAAGUA